Molecule: transfer RNA, 73 nt
Filed under: Vicugna pacos (alpaca)
Lineage: Eukaryota; Metazoa; Chordata; Mammalia; Artiodactyla; Camelidae
Description: tRNA-Ala (AGC) (tRNA-Ala-AGC-757-1)
Rfam family: tRNA
About the family: Transfer RNA (tRNA) molecules are approximately 80 nucleotides in length.
Source: RNAcentral
GGAGGGUAUAGCUCAGUGGUAGAGUGUGUGCUUAGCAUGCAUGAGGUCCUGGGUUCAAUCCCCAGUGCCUCCA